GAUGAACGCUGGCGGCGUGCCUAAUACAUGCAAGUCGAGCGAACGGACGAGAAACUUGCUUCUCUGAUAUUAGCGGCGGACGGGUGAGUAACACGUGGAUAACCUACCUAUAAGACUGGGAUAACUUCGGGAAACCGGAGCUAAUACCGGAUGAUAUUUUGAACCGCAUGGUUCAAAAGUUAAAUACGUUCUUGCUGUCACUUAUAGAUACAUCCGCGCUGCAUUAGCUAGUUGGUAAGGUAACGGCUUACCAAGGCAACGAUGCAUAGCCGACCUGAUAGGGUGAUCGGCCACACUGGAACUGAGACACGGUCCAGACUCCUACGGGAGGCAGCAGUAGGGAAUCUUACGCAAUGGGCGAAAGCCUGACGGAGCAACGCCGCGUGAGUGAUGAAGUUCUUCGGAUCUUAAAACUCUGUUAUUAGGGAAGAACAUAUGUGUAAGUAACUGUGCACAUCUUGACGGUACCUAAUCAGAAAGCCACGGCUAACUACGUG
RNAcentral lists this ribosomal RNA (497 nucleotides) under uncultured bacterium. Its description in RNAcentral is "partial 16S ribosomal RNA". It matches the Rfam family "Bacterial small subunit ribosomal RNA", at positions 28 to 507 of the family's 1533-position model. The record is from RNAcentral.